AACGAACGCUGGCGGCAUGCCUAACACAUGCAAGUCGAACGAUGCUUUCGGGCAUAGUGGCGCACGGGUGCGUAACGCGUGGGAAUCUGCCCUUGGGUUCGGAAUAACAGUGAGAAAUUGCUGCUAAUACCGGAUGAUGUCUUCGGACCAAAGAUUUAUCGCCCAGGGAUGAGCCCGCGUAGGAUUAGCUAGUUGGUGGGGUAAUGGCCUACCAAGGCGACGAUCCUUAGCUGGUCUGAGAGGAUGAUCAGCCACACUGGGACUGAGACACGGCCCAGACUCCUACGGGAGGCAGCAGUGGGGAAUAUUGGACAAUGGGCGCAAGCCUGAUCCAGCAAUGCCGCGUGAGUGAUGAAGGCCUUAGGGUUGUAAAGCUCUUUUACCCGGGAUGAUAAUGACAGUACCGGGAGAAGAAGCCCCGGCUAACUCCGUG
This 433-nucleotide ribosomal RNA is filed under the name uncultured bacterium. RNAcentral describes it as "partial 16S ribosomal RNA". It matches the Rfam family "Bacterial small subunit ribosomal RNA", at positions 29 to 507 of the family's 1533-position model. The record is from RNAcentral.